AUACAUAUCUGAAAGGGAGUGAUACGAUGGUCACUAAGAUGGUUCUCUCAGGACGAGACACACCCAUUGCACUUUGGGUGAGUGGACCUUUGUGAUUUCCAUAAAUAUGGGGAGUUUGACCAUACAAUUUUGGUAGUGGGGAAGCCUGUUCACACUAUCCCGU
Molecule: small nuclear RNA, 163 nt
Filed under: Eptatretus burgeri (inshore hagfish)
Lineage: Eukaryota; Metazoa; Chordata; Myxini; Myxiniformes; Myxinidae
Description: U1 spliceosomal RNA (ENSEBUG00000000069.1)
Rfam family: U1 spliceosomal RNA
About the family: U1 is a small nuclear RNA (snRNA) component of the spliceosome (involved in pre-mRNA splicing). Its 5' end forms complementary base pairs with the 5' splice junction, thus defining the 5' donor site of an intron.
Source: RNAcentral